Non-coding RNA from Biomphalaria pfeifferi, 261 nucleotides. Lineage: Eukaryota; Metazoa; Mollusca; Gastropoda; Planorbidae. The record is from the annotation of a GenBank genome assembly.
AAAGACAUCUUUUUUACAAUUGAUAUAUCUACAAGGGAGAUGCUGAGAAGAUAUCAACAAAGACUGCUGGCCGUUCAAUAUGACAAAAUUUGGAAAUUAGAUGUUAAGUAUUUAUGUCAUACUGGUUAUAGUUUUACAUAAAUUUUCACAAUUAAACUAAUGCAAAAAAGAAUAAUCUUUGUUAACAUAUUCUUGAAAUUGUGAGAAAGAAUAUAAAUGCAAAAUAAAGAUAUAUAUAUUAAAAAAAAAAAAGAUUAAGUU